Molecule: ribosomal RNA, 433 nt
Filed under: uncultured bacterium
Lineage: Bacteria
Description: partial 16S ribosomal RNA
Rfam family: Bacterial small subunit ribosomal RNA
Source: RNAcentral
AACGAACGCUGGCGGCAUGCCUAACACAUGCAAGUCGAACGAGACCUUCGGGUCUAGUGGCGCACGGGUGCGUAACGCGUGGGAACCUGCCCUUAGGUUCGGAAUAACUCCCCGAAAGGGGUGCUAAUACCGGAUAAUGUCUUCGGACCAAAGAUUUAUCGCCUUUGGAUGGGCCCGCGUUGGAUUAGCUAGUUGGUAGGGUAAAAGCCUACCAAGGCGACGAUCCAUAGCUGGUCUGAGAGGAUGAUCAGCCACACUGGGACUGAGACACGGCCCAGACUCCUACGGGAGGCAGCAGUGGGGAAUAUUGGACAAUGGGGGAAAGCCUGAUCCAGCAAUGCCGCGUGAGUGAUGAAGUCCUUAGGGUUGUAAAGCUCUUUUACCCGGGAUGAUAAUGACAGUACCGGGAGAAUAAGCUCCGGCUAACUCCGUG